GAUGAACGCUGGCGGCGUGCCUAAUACAUGCAAGUCGAGCGAACGGACGAGAAGCUUGCUUCUCUGAUGUUAGCGGCGGACGGGUGAGUAACACGUGGAUAACCUACCUAUAAGACUGGGAUAACUUCGGGAAACCGUAGCUAAUACCGGAUAAUAUUUUGAACCGCAUGGUUCAAAAGUGAAAGACGGUCUUGCUGUCACUUAUAGAUGGAUCCGCGCUGCAUUAGCUAGUUGGUAAGGUAACGGCUUACCAAGGCAACGAUGCAUAGCCGACCUGAGAGAGUGAUCGGCCACACUGGAACUGAGACACGGUCCAGACUCCUACGGGAGGCAGCAGUAGGGAAUCUUACGCAAUGGGCGAGAGCCUGACGGAGCAACGCCGCGUGAGUGAUGAAGGUGUUCGGAUCGUAAAACUCUGUUAUUAGGGAAGAACAUAUGUGUAAGUAACUGUGCACAUCUUGACGGUACCUAAUCAGAAAGCCACGGCUAACUACGUG
Molecule: ribosomal RNA, 497 nt
Filed under: uncultured bacterium
Lineage: Bacteria
Description: partial 16S ribosomal RNA
Rfam family: Bacterial small subunit ribosomal RNA
Source: RNAcentral